RNAcentral lists this ribosomal RNA (875 nucleotides) under Peltigera aphthosa. Its description in RNAcentral is "SSU rRNA". It matches the Rfam family "Bacterial small subunit ribosomal RNA", at positions 347 to 1232 of the family's 1533-position model. The record is from RNAcentral. Lineage: Eukaryota; Fungi; Ascomycota; Lecanoromycetes; Peltigerales; Peltigeraceae.
UUUAGCAGUGAGGAAUAUUGGUCAAUAGCCUAACGGCUGAACCAGCAACUUGGAGGAAUGUAAGGCAAUAGCCUAAUGCAUUAUUUUAAUGUUUAAUCGACCAUGUCGAAUAAAAUUCUAGGUAGAGUUUUGACAAUGACAUUCUCUAUCUAUGUGUCUUGACCAAAUUACGUGCCAGCAGUCGCGGUAAUACGUAAAAGACUAGUGUUAUUCAUCUUUAAUAGGUUUAAAGAGUACCAAGACGGUUAAUAAAGCCCCUAAAGGGUACAAGUUAACUAGAGUUAUAUGAAAGGGAGCUCUUAGGUACUGUUGAGUGUAGAGAUGAAAUUCUGUGAUACCAGAUGAUUGGCACGGGUCUAUGCGAAGGCAUCUCCUUAUGUAAUAACUGACGUUGUAGGACGAAGGCUUUUGAAGUGAACAGGAUUCGAUACCCCAGUAAUCUAGGCAGAAAAUGAUGAGUGUCAUAGGUUAAAUAUAAUUUAGUCUAUAAAUGAAAGUGUAAGCAUUCCACCUCAAGAGUAAUUUGGCAACAUUGGAACUGAAAUCAUUAGACCGUUUCUGAAACCAGUAGUGAAGUAUGUUGUUUAAUUUGAUGAUCCGCAAAGAACCUUACCACUUUUAAUAAUGUUAAAUUAUUAUUUUCUUCNUAUAACAUUGUUAAAAUUAUUAUCUUGAAUAAAUAUUUUUUUAAUAUUUACAAGCGUUGCACGGCUGUCUUCAGUUAAUGUCGUGAGAUUUUGGUUAGUUCCAUUAAAUUAACGAAAACCCUUACUUUAUUUUGAUAUAAAGUUGUUCACCGUUAUAUUGGUAUGAUAAUAGGGACCAGGACAAGUCAUCAUGACCUAAAUAUUGUGGGCUAUAGACGUGCCACAUAA